This 494-nucleotide ribosomal RNA is filed under the name uncultured bacterium. RNAcentral describes it as "partial 16S ribosomal RNA". It matches the Rfam family "Bacterial small subunit ribosomal RNA", at positions 28 to 507 of the family's 1533-position model. The record is from RNAcentral.
GACGAACGCUGGCGGCGUGCUUAACACAUGCAAGUCGAACGGAAAGGCCUGCUUUUUCUUGUGGAUUGCGGGUACUCGAGUGGCGAACGGGUGAGUAACACGUGAGUGUUCUGCCCCCAACUUGGGUAUAAGCCUGGGAAACUGGGUCUAAUUCCCGCUAGGACUGCAGGGUGGUGUCUGUGGUGGCAAACGUUUUUCUAGUGGUUGGGGAUGAGCUGCCGGCGUAUCAGCUUGUUGGUGGGGUAAUGUCCUACGAAGGCGGGGACGGGUAGCCGGCCUGGGAGAGUGGACGGGCGAAGUGGGACUGAGAUACGGCGCAGACGGCAAGGGGCAGCAGCAGAGGGGAAUAAGGCGCAGUGAGCGGGAGGCUGAUGCAGCGAGGCAGCGUGGGGGAUGACGGGCUUCGGAUUGUAAACUCCUAGCGACCAAGAGGUAGCCACCUGGUUGGAAGGGUGGUGACGGUAGUGGUAGAAGAAGCACCGGCUAACUACGUG